ACCUCAAAUCAGGCAAGAAUACCCGCUGAACUUAAGCAUAUCAAUAAGCGGAGGAAAAGAAACUAACAAGGAUUCCCCUAGUAACGGCGAGUGAAGAGGGAAGAGCUCAAAUUUUAAAUCUGCCUUGUUCCAAGGUCGAGUUGUAAUUUGAAGAAGCGUUUUCUUGGGCUCGCGGCCGGUAGAAGUUCUUUGGAACAGGACAUCAUAGAGGGUGACAAUCCCGUCCGUGACCGGUCGUGCGUUCAUCUACGAUACGCUUUCAAAGAGUCGAGUUGUUUGGGAUUGCAGCUCCAAACGGGUGGUAAACAUCACCUAAGGCUAAAUAUUGGCGAGAGACCGAUAGCGAACAAGUACCGUGAGGGAAAGAUGAAAAGAACUUUGAAAAGAGAGUUAAACAGUACGUGAAAUUGUUGAAAGGGAAACGAUUGAAGUCAGUCGUGCUGGCGCGAAAUCAACCCUCUCGUCUUGAGAUCACAUGGCGCGACGAGCCUCAAAACCGUCACGAAGCGUGAACUCUUGACGAAAAGGUGCACUUUCGUGUCCGCUGGUUAACAUCAAUUUCGAACGUCAUAAAAAGGCUGGAGGGAUGUGGCUCCUUCGGGAGUGUUAUAACCUUUAGCGGAAUGUGGCGUUCGGGAUUGAGGAUUGCAACGAAUACCUUCAGGGCUGUUCCACCUGGCUUCUCAUUGGUAUCCUGGUGACGACAGCUUGCUGACGUCGUUAGGAUCAGCUUCUGAACAGGCUAGAGUGUGAGCAAAUUCGUUAAGGAUGUUAACGUAAUGGCUUUAAACGACCCGUCUUGAAACACGGACC
This 813-nucleotide ribosomal RNA is filed under the name Entrophospora etunicata. RNAcentral describes it as "eukaryotic LSU rRNA". It matches the Rfam family "Eukaryotic large subunit ribosomal RNA", at positions 1 to 667 of the family's 3401-position model. The record is from RNAcentral. Lineage: Eukaryota; Fungi; Glomeromycota; Glomeromycetes; Entrophosporales; Entrophosporaceae.